Long non-coding RNA from Gasterosteus aculeatus aculeatus (three-spined stickleback), 1510 nucleotides. The record is from Ensembl. Lineage: Eukaryota; Metazoa; Chordata; Actinopteri; Perciformes; Gasterosteidae.
CAGUGACAUUGAGGUGACAUUCCUUAUAGUUCUUCCCAUAACUUGUGUCCACUUCACACCAGUACAGCCCCGAGUCAUUAGUCUGGAGUCUGGAGAUGUGAAGUCUGAGUCGUCCUUCUCUGAGGACGUCUUUGUCCCACUGGACUCGUCCUGCAAAGCGUUUAUCCUGCAGCUCUGGGACCUCGACACCUUCAUACAGAUGAAACAUGAGUGAGUGUGUCUGAUUAAUUAACAUCUCACAGGAGACAUAAAGGGCGUUGGGGGAGGGGUCCGUGCUGGUGGGGAACAUCCAUUCCAGUGAGAUGUUGUGGUUCUCCUCUGCAUGAUACCAGCUCUGUGUCACAUUCACUACAAAUGACCCUGCUGAGGAGACAGAGAAGGAGAGGAGGAGGUGACAAAGUGACAGCUUUAACAUGGAGCCUUUAGACUCCAUCUCCAGAUGUUUCUGAGGAGUGUGUGCUGAUGCUUCACAGCUGCUUCACAAACACAAAAGUGAACUGACCACAGACACAGGAGGUCAGGAUGAAGAUCACCAGGAUGCUGCAGAUCAUCUCCUCCCUGUGAGAGGAGACAGAGGAGAAGAGGCUCUUACCUGUUAUAUGGUAGACUUGUUAAUAAGUCACUAGCAUGUGUUAUUAUGUUAUGUUUGCUUUUCUUGUGUCUUUCUGCUGUGACACAGUGAUAGAGCAGCCAUCCUGCUUGUGCAUUUCUAUUUUGUGGUUUUCAGUCAUUGUAUGUUGCUGUGAAUUGAUUGAUUUGUUUGAAGUGGUAUUCUGCCUCAGUUUGUGAUGAUUACACUCUUUUAUGGACCAUCCGGGAAGUUUACACUGACUUCCUGGAUGGUACAGUUAGUCACACAUGGUCUAUUUUAUUUCUUUUUGUUUUAUACCUCAAGUGAACAGUACCUAAUUUAUUUCAUUGAGACUCACUUGUGGAGCUGUCUGCAACUACGGAUGAUGUUUAAUACGAAACACGGCGGCGUUUGGUGCUCCGACGCGUGAAGAACUUCAACAAGACUUUAACGGAGGAUGCGGAGGAGAAACAAACAUGGAGGCUGAUGGAACGAAGCAUGAAGAUGCAGAAUGGACGUAACUUCUUCUUUCCUUUUGGACCGAGUUUCCAGCUGAACCUUAAACAAACCAUGUUUCCUCCAUCAGCUUCUUAUUGUCAUCAAUGAAGCACAGUGUGAACAUCUAUGUACCGACAUGUAUAACAAACACCACACAGGGAACACACACAACCUCAUGAGGCUGUUGUUGACAAUUGUUCUUUACUAAAUAAUGCAGCUGUUUUUUCCUCAAUGGAUCAGGUUAUAUUCUGUCAUCAAUAUCAAUCAAUCUGUCAUCAAUACAUUUUUUUGAAAUUGUUUUGAAUUCUACAGACAAACUAAGUUAAUAUCUUGUAUAAUCCUCACAUAAUAAAUGUUAAUAUAAUCACAACACCAACAUCUCUCAGUCAUGUGAACUGAAGCUCUUCAACAAGUAAACUACUCAGUGAAGUUCAUUCUAAC